This is a long non-coding RNA of Scophthalmus maximus (turbot), 3166 nucleotides long. The record is from Ensembl. NCBI's taxonomy places the organism in Eukaryota, Metazoa, Chordata, Actinopteri, Pleuronectiformes, Scophthalmidae.
GCAGAUCACCUGAGCCACCUCACUGCUCCCGGGACGGAGAACGUGGGAGAACCGGUUCCACGUGAUCAACCGGACUCAGUGAUCCACCGUAAACAGCUGAUUCAGGAUCAGACAGCAGAUCUCAGACCUCGGUCUCUUCACAUCCGAUCAAUCAAUAAUCAAUAAUCAAUAAUCCAUCACCAGAUCUCUCUCCCUCAUAGAAUCCAACUUGUCCUCGAUUACAUUCACGUGACAGCUUCAGUCACUUCUCUGAUUGAGACGAUCCAACAGGUAGAAACAGAUCAGAUCGGUGACACGUGACGUCACAGCGCCACCUGCCGGCCACAGACACACGGUGCAGCAGCUGACUGGGGAUCGAUCAGUUCUCAGGUUGAUUCUUUACAGUCAAACUAUUUCACUCAUAUUUAAAAAAAAACAACAAUGUUUUGUCUUUACAAUUUCUGCUUUGAAAUUGUAUAAAUAGCUCAUCCGGCCGAGCACUCACCUGCUCAGGUAGGACAUGACCCACCGUACCUUUGACUUGCGCCACUUGAGAACUUACGCCCAAAUUAUUUUCUGUCUUGGAACAGGUCCACGCAGAGUCAGGUUGGUGGGAGGAGCCAGUCGCUGCGCUGGUGAACUGGAGAUGAACCACCAGAGAGAGUGGAGACCAGUGACUGUCGGGGUUGGAUGGAACCAGAUAUCAGUGGAUAAAGUUUGCACACAUCUGGAUUGUGGAUCUGCUGUUUCAACAAAAGUUACAGAUAAUUCUCCAUACAGACGUGUGUGGUGGAUCGAUAACGACUGUGUCCAGUCCAAAUCUGCACUCAGGGAAUGUGUGAAGCUGACUGAUCUUUAUAAAACCAAGAAAGGCCAUGAAGUGAUCUGCUCAGGUUUGCUGGUUCAGCCAAACGUCUCCGUCUCGCCAAUUGUUGGGGUCUCCGGGGCCGAGCAGCAGGGGUAUCAUGUGCUCCUGGGCUCCAGCUUCACCGUCACGUGUUCUACUGAACCACAGUACCAAGGAGGCUGCUUCCACCUUCUCUUCACCACCUCCGACACGGCACACAUCUACACCCUGCCGGCUGUCAAUCACUCCGCCCACUUCCUGUUCCCUGCUGCGCGCAGCGCCCACCGAGGGGACUACACAUGUGUUUACCACGCCUACGUUUUCUCCUAUAACUUCUCUUCCGAGAGCCGGCCUCUCCAUGUCAUUGUCUCAGGUAUCUUCCUGGAGAAUCUGUGUCAAACAUGAUCAAGAGAUUUCAAAACGAAAGGACACUUACGAGUCUUUCCUGAGCUUUCAACCACGUGUCACAGUCGACAUGAGCAGGCUCAUGGUUUCUGAAACGACACCACAUAACAUUAAUAUAACAUUAAAAUACUUCAGUUAUUCUUCUUCGUCCAUCAGAACAGAGUUUCCAGUUCCACCACACUACUUUGUGUAGUAUUCAGCACAAAAGUACAUAUAAUGAAUCUCUAGAUUAAAAUAAAUAAGCCUGCAAACUACUUUUAUACUUUCAUUGAACUAAAGUAAAGAAAAGGAAAAAGAAUCCUGAAGUAGAAUGUCACUCAGAAGAGCUCAUCGCUCCGCCAAGGCCCAACAGUUCCCUCAUGAAACACAUUUAAAUCAACAGGAUCUGGAUUUUAAUGUGGAUCUGAACCAAAUCUCACACACUUAUAGAAUCAGUCUCUGAAUAUUCCUGAUUUUGGGGGGCAAUCUGUGAAAAUGUAAAAAAACAAACAAAACAUUUCUAUCUUGCAAUGUUUGAGAAAGAAAUUUGAAAAAUCCUGGCUCCGCCCCUUUGUCCAGAUCCCCUGUAAAGUUUUAUGGAUUCUUUCUUGGUCCAUGUUCCAUCCUUCCAAAUUCACUGGGGGUGAAAACAUAACCUCCUUGGCCGAGGUUAAAAAGAAAAUGUCCUCAGAUAAUCUACCAACCUGCUCGUCCACAAAGUCAGUUUCCGUGUUUAUUCGUGUCAUACGCACGGAAUAGUUCACGUUGCGUUUGGUGUGAACGCAGCGCGACUCUCUUCAAACACUUCUCUCCAUUAACCAGGUAACAGUGUUGAUAAUCUGGUCUGUUUUUAUGUCCAAUGAAACACAUUAUAACUGUUGAGGCAGUUAAUACUAAUAAUAAAUAAGAUGAUGUCAUAGGAACAGAUGUGAUGAUUUCAAAUCUCUUCCAGCUUCUGUGACUGAUCUGAUCAUCAGAUGUGUCGUGGUGCUGCUGCUUCUGACGGUGUCGACCCUCAUCCUCUACUUCCACUUCAAGGUGACGGACACACACCCAGCGUCCAUCCUUCAUCAGAGGAGAGAUGUUGAAUUAGCGCUAACAGGAAGUGUCUGCUGUCGUGUGUUUCCAGGCCGAAGGACGCCGGAGGAGACAGAGGCCUGAGACUCGUCAGCGCCCCCGCAGGUCAACAGCUGCAUCACGCGUCAACGUAGAGUAAAAGGAUCACAGCCGCAAUGGAAGAAGCUUCAGAUGGAUUUCAUCCAGAUAUUGAAUAUGUGUCAAUGUACAGUAUCUGAGAUCUAAGACAAAGUGAUAUGUUGACUUUGAAAGGCGACACAGGAUACAAACACAACAACUGUUAUUAGGACACAUUCAUCAUUCAUUGUUGCUGUUGGUCUUUUAUGGGAUUUGUUCAAUGAUAUAAAUAGAGAAAAUCAGCAGACUGAUCCUUUAAUAUUCAUAUCAGUGGUUAUGGAAGUGGAGUAUGAGGCAAAGUUGAAACAUUUAUUGAAUAUUUAAAUUCUUAAAUGUCAACUGUAAAAAAACCCAGCUUAUUUACGUUUGAUAUUCAUCUUUACUUUUCAUAUUUACUUUUUAUUCUUUUUAUACUAUUUUAUUUUAUAAACUCGCUUAGUUUUUCAAAAACGCUGUUGAAUGAAGUUUUAUUGUUGUUUGUCCCCAUAAGGAAGACAAGUCCUGUGAGUGUGUAAACACAUGUUGGUCCCCACAACAUGAGUAAUACCAACACACACACACACACACAUGAUACAAACAAUAACUUUUAUUAAGACACAUUCAUUGUUGGGAGCAAAAGACAAAACAGUUUAUUGUCAGUUGUUGUUAAAAUACAAAAGUAACUUUUAUUUACUAAUUUAUUGAAACAUUUUUGUUUGAUAUUCAUCUUUACUUUUUAUACUCACUUCUACUUACAUGUACAAUAAAACUUGACUUAGUCGA